GGUAUGUCCCGGUAGAUUGAGCUCGGUAGGCCGAUUGAGCAGAGUAUUUUCCAUCCGUCGAUCUCCACUUGAUUUGGUCCUCUUCUCAGGUUGUAAGUGCACAAGUUGAAUCCUGAUCCAUAGAGAAAUAAAUUGCUCCACAUGUGUCGUUAUUUUGCGUUGUAAUUUCUCAAUUCUUACUCGACCGUCUUAUUUUUUUACCUGAUCAAAGAGAUGGGGUGCAAUGUUUCGUGGGGCCCGCCGUCAAGCCAGCUACGAUGUCAGAACUUCACUUCUACCAUCGCCAAUGGAAACAGUAGUGGAGGCAUCGAAGAAAAAUCCAUUGCACGGGACGUCUGUACCAGUCUACCAGACCAUGGCUUGUGUAAUUGUGUUCAUCGGUCCGUUCUUGCCAAAGCCAUCGCACGGCCAGCGGCCGAACUUGUCUAGGUAUGUCACACCCAACCGCC
RNAcentral lists this long non-coding RNA (449 nucleotides) under Setaria italica (foxtail millet). Its description in RNAcentral is "long non-coding RNA (SITA_LNC003650)". Lineage: Eukaryota; Viridiplantae; Streptophyta; Magnoliopsida; Poales; Poaceae. The record is from RNAcentral.